CCUACGGGAGGCAGCAGUGAGGAAUAUUGGUCAAUGGCCGGAAGGCUGAACCAGCCAAGCCGCGUGAGGGAGGAAGGCGCAGAGCGUCGCAGACCUCUUUUGCCGGGGGACAAAAGGCCGGACUCGUCCGGUCCUGAGGGUACCCGGAGAAAAAGCAUCGGCUAACUCCGUGCCAGCAGCCGCGGUAAUACGGAGGAUGCGAGCGUUAUCCGGAUUUAUUGGGUUUAAAGGGAGCGUAGGCGGGUUGUUAAGUCAGUUGUGAAAGUUUGCGGCUCAACCGUAAAAUUGCAGUUGAUACUGGCAUCCUUGAGUACAGUAGAGGUAGGCGGAAUUCGUGGUGUAGCGGUGAAAUGCUUAGAUAUCACGAAGAACUCCGAUUGCGAAGGCAGCCUGCUGGACUGUAACUGACGCUGAUGCUCGAAAGUGUGGGUAUCAAACAGGAUUAGAUACCCUUGUAGUC
This 460-nucleotide ribosomal RNA is filed under the name uncultured bacterium. Its description in RNAcentral is "partial 16S ribosomal RNA". It matches the Rfam family "Bacterial small subunit ribosomal RNA", at positions 338 to 795 of the family's 1533-position model. The record is from RNAcentral.